UACUCGAGUGGCGAACGGGUGUGUAACACGUGGGUGAUCUGCCCUGCACUUCGGGAUAAGCUUGGGAAACUGGGUCUAAUACCGGAUAGGAGCCAUCUUUAGUGUGGUGGUUGAAAGUUUUUUCGGUGUAGGAUGAGCUCGCGGCCUAUCAGCUUGUUGGUGGGGUAAUGGCCUACCAAGGCGGCGACGGGUAGCCGGCCUGAGAGGGUGUACGGCCACAUUGGGACUGAGAUACGGCCCAG
Molecule: ribosomal RNA, 242 nt
Filed under: uncultured Actinomycetales bacterium
Lineage: Bacteria; Bacillati; Actinomycetota; Actinomycetes; Actinomycetales
Description: partial 16S ribosomal RNA
Rfam family: Bacterial small subunit ribosomal RNA
Source: RNAcentral